GCAGCCAUGCCGCGUGUAUGAAGAAGGCCUUCGGGUUGUAAAGUACUUUCAGCAGUGAGGAAGGCGGGUACGUUAAUAGCGUGCUCGUUUGACGUUAGCUGCAGAAGAAGCACCGGCUAACUCCGUGCCAGCAGCCGCGGUAAUACGGAGGGUGCGAGCGUUAAUCGGAAUUACUGGGCGUAAAGCGCAUGCAGGUGGUUUGUUAAGUCAGAUGUGAAAGCCCGGGGCUCAACCUCGGAAUUGCAUUUGAAACUGGCAGACUAGAGUACUGUAGAGGGGGGUAGAAUUUCAGGUGUAGCGGUGAAAUGCGUAGAGAUCUGAAGGAAUACCGGUGGCGAAGGCGGCCCCCUGGACAGAUACUGACACUCAGAUGCGAAAGCGUGGGGAGCAAACAGGAUUAGAUACCCUGGUAGUCCACGCCGUAAACGAUGUCUACUUGGAGGUUGUGGCCUUGAGCCGUGGCUUUCGGAGCUAACGCGU
RNAcentral lists this ribosomal RNA (480 nucleotides) under Vibrio sp. RNAcentral describes it as "bacterial SSU rRNA". It matches the Rfam family "Bacterial small subunit ribosomal RNA", at positions 388 to 860 of the family's 1533-position model. Lineage: Bacteria; Pseudomonadati; Pseudomonadota; Gammaproteobacteria; Vibrionales; Vibrionaceae. The record is from RNAcentral.